Molecule: ribosomal RNA, 252 nt
Filed under: uncultured bacterium
Lineage: Bacteria
Description: partial 16S ribosomal RNA
Rfam family: Bacterial small subunit ribosomal RNA
Source: RNAcentral
UACGAAGGGGGCUAGCGUUGUUCGGAUUUACUGGGCGUAAAGCGCACGUAGGCGGAUCGUUAAGUCGGGGGUGAAAUCCUGGAGCUCAACUCCAGAACUGCCUUCGAUACUGGCGAUCUUGAGUCCGGAAGAGGUGAGUGGAACUCCUAGUGUAGGGUGGAAUUCGUAGAUAUUAGGAAGAACACCAGUGGCGAAGGCGGCUCACUGGUCCGGUACUGACGCUGAGGUGCGAAAGCGUGGGGAGCAAACAGG